This 256-nucleotide ribosomal RNA is filed under the name uncultured soil bacterium. RNAcentral describes it as "partial 16S ribosomal RNA". It matches the Rfam family "Bacterial small subunit ribosomal RNA", at positions 26 to 310 of the family's 1533-position model. The record is from RNAcentral.
AGAGCGAACGCUGGCGGCAGGCCUAACACAUGCAAGUCGAACGGACCCUUCGGGGUUAGUGGCGGACGGGUGAGUAACACGUGGGAACGUGCCUUUAGGUUCGGAAUAGCUCCUGGAAACGGGUGGUAAUGCCGAAUGUGCCCCUCGGGGGAAAGAUUUAUCGCCUUUAGAGCGGCCCGCGUCUGAUUAGCUUGUCGGUGAGGUAAUGGCUCACCAAGGCUACGAUCAGUAGCUGGUCUGAGAGGAUGACCAGCCA